GACGAACGCUGGCGGCGUGCUUAACACAUGCAAGUCGAACGGUAAGGCCCUUCGGGGUACACGAGUGGCGAACGGGUGAGUAACACGUGGGUGAUCUGCCCUGCACUUCGGGAUAAGCCUGGGAAACUGGGUCUAAUACCAGAUAGAACUCCUGGCUUCAUGGUUGGGGGUGGAAAGCUUUUGCGGUGUGGGAUGGGCCCGCGGCCUAUCAGCUUGUUGGUGGGGUGAUGGCCUACCAAGGCGACGACGGGUAGCCGGCCUGAGAGGGUGACCGGCCACACUGGGACUGAGAUACGGCCCAGACUCCUACGGGAGGCAGCAGUGGGGAAUAUUGCACAAUGGGCGCAAGCUUGAUGCAGCGACGCCGCGUGAGGGAUGACGGCCUUCGGGUUGUAAACCUCUUUCAGCACCGACGAAGCGCAAGUGACGGUAGGUGCAGAAGAAGGACCGGCCAACUACGUGCCAGCCGCCGCCGUAA
This 478-nucleotide ribosomal RNA is filed under the name uncultured bacterium. Its description in RNAcentral is "partial 16S ribosomal RNA". It matches the Rfam family "Bacterial small subunit ribosomal RNA", at positions 28 to 523 of the family's 1533-position model. The record is from RNAcentral.